Molecule: transfer RNA, 66 nt
Filed under: FCB group bacterium
Lineage: Bacteria; Pseudomonadati
Description: tRNA-Ile
Source: RNAcentral
AUAAUAACAAUGAGUGGCCACGGACUCAUAAUCCGUCGGUUCGGGGUUCAAGUCCCUGUGGGCCCA